This 403-nucleotide ribosomal RNA is filed under the name uncultured bacterium. RNAcentral describes it as "bacterial SSU rRNA". It matches the Rfam family "Bacterial small subunit ribosomal RNA", at positions 355 to 774 of the family's 1533-position model. The record is from RNAcentral.
UCGGGAAUAUUGCGCAAUGGAGGAAACUCUGACGCAGUGACGCCGCGUAUAGGAAGAAGGUUUUCGGAUUGUAAACUAUUGUCGUUAGGGAAGAAAAAGGACAGUACCUAAGGAGGAAGCUCCGGCUAACUACGUGCCAGCAGCCGCGGUAAUACGUAGGGAGCGAGCGUUAUCCGGAUUUAUUGGGUGUAAAGGGUGCGUAGACGGGCUUGUAAGUUAGUUGUGAAAUCCCUCGGCUCAACUGAGGAACUGCAACUAAAACUGUAAGUCUUGAGUGCAGGAGAGGUAAGUGGAAUUCCUAGUGUAGCGGUGAAAUGCGUAGAUAUUAGGAGGAACACCAGUGGCGAAGGCGACUUACUGGACUGUAACUGACGUUGAGGCACGAAAGUGUGGGGAGCAAACA